GUUUGAUCAUGGCUCAGAUUGAACGCUGGCGGCAGGCCUAACACAUGCAAGUCGAACGGUAACAGGAAGAAGCUUGCUUCUUUGCUGACGAGUGGCGGACGGGUGAGUAAUGUCUGGGAAACUGCCUGAUGGAGGGGGAUAACUACUGGAAACGGUAGCUAAUACCGCAUAACGUCGCAAGACCAAAAAGGGGGGACCUUCGGGCCUCUUGCCAUCGGAUGUGCCCAGAUGGGAUUAGCUAGUAGGUGGGGUAACGGCUCACCUAGGCGACGAUCCCUAGCUGGUCUGAGAGGAUGACCAGCCACACUGGAACUGAGACACGGUCCAGACUCCUACGGGAGGCAGCAGUGGGGAAUAUUGCACAAUGGGCGCAAGCCUGAUGCAGCCAUGCCGCGUGUAUGAAGAAGGCCUUCGGGUUGUAAAGUACUUUCAGCGGGGAGGAAGGGAGUAAAGUUAAUACCUUUGCUCAUUGACGUUACCCGCAGAAGAAGCACCGGCUAACUCCGUG
This 508-nucleotide ribosomal RNA is filed under the name uncultured bacterium. Its description in RNAcentral is "bacterial SSU rRNA". It matches the Rfam family "Bacterial small subunit ribosomal RNA", at positions 11 to 507 of the family's 1533-position model. The record is from RNAcentral.